Molecule: ribosomal RNA, 253 nt
Filed under: uncultured bacterium
Lineage: Bacteria
Description: partial 16S ribosomal RNA
Rfam family: Bacterial small subunit ribosomal RNA
Source: RNAcentral
UACGUAGGGACCAAGCGUUGUCCGGGAUCAUUGGGCGUAAAGAGCGUGUAGGCGGCUUGUUAAGUCUUGCGUGAAAUCUCGGGGCUCAACCCCGAGCGGUCGUGAGAAACUGGCAGGCUAGAGUGCGGGAGAGGAGAGUGGAAUUCCUGGUGUAGCGGUGAAAUGCGCAGAUAUCAGGAAGAACACCCGUGGCGAAGGCGGCUCUCUGGAACGCAACUGACGCUGAGACGCGAAAGCGUGGGGAGCAAACAGG